CCUACGGGCGGCAGCAGUGGGGAAUAUUGGACAAUGGGGGGAACCCUGAUCCAGCCAUGCCGCGUGUGUGAAGAAGGCCCUCGGGUUGUAAAGCACUUUCAGUGAGGAAGAACGCCUGGUGGUUAAUACCCAUCAGGAAAGACAUCACUCACAGAAGAAGCACCGGCUAACUCCGUGCCAGCAGCCGCGGUAAUACGGAGGGUGCGAGCGUUAAUCGGAAUUACUGGGCGUAAAGCGCGCGUAGGUGGCUGGAUAAGCCGGUUGUGAAAUCCCCGGGCUCAACCUGGGAACGGCAUCCGGAACUGUCAAGCUAGAGUGGAGAAGAGGAAGGUAGAAUUCCAGGUGUAGCGGUGAAAUGCGUAGAGAUCGGGAGGAAUACCAGUGGCGAAGGCGGCCUUCUGGACUGACACUGACACUGAGGUGCGAAAGCGUGGGUAGCAAACAGGAUUAGAUACCCUGGUAGUC
This 465-nucleotide ribosomal RNA is filed under the name Vreelandella stevensii. RNAcentral describes it as "partial 16S ribosomal RNA". It matches the Rfam family "Bacterial small subunit ribosomal RNA", at positions 338 to 795 of the family's 1533-position model. Lineage: Bacteria; Pseudomonadati; Pseudomonadota; Gammaproteobacteria; Oceanospirillales; Halomonadaceae. The record is from RNAcentral.